GAUGAAGAACGCAGCGAAAUGCGAUAAGUAAUGUGAAUUGCAGAAUUCAGUGAAUCAUCGAAUCUUUGAACGCACAUUGCGCCCGCCAGUAUUCUGUCGGGCAUGCCUGUCCGAGCGUCAUUUCAACCCUCGAACCCCUCCGGGGGGUCGGCGUUGGGGAUCGGCCCUCCCUUAGCGGGUGGCCGUCUCCGAAAUACAGUGGCGGUCUCGCCGCAGCCUCUCCUGCGCAGUAGUUUGCACACUCGCAUCGGGAGCGCGGCGCGUCCACAGCCGUUAAACACCCAACUUCUGAAAUGUUGACCUCGGAUCAGGUAGGAAUACCCGCUGAACUUAAGCAUAUCAAUAAGCGGAGGA
Molecule: unclassified non-coding RNA, 354 nt
Filed under: soil metagenome
Description: partial contains 5.8S ribosomal RNA, internal transcribed spacer 2, and large subunit ribosomal RNA
Rfam family: 5.8S ribosomal RNA (bases 1-120)
Source: RNAcentral